RNAcentral lists this long non-coding RNA (526 nucleotides) under Daucus carota (carrot). RNAcentral describes it as "long non-coding RNA (DCAR_LNC002741)". The record is from RNAcentral. Lineage: Eukaryota; Viridiplantae; Streptophyta; Magnoliopsida; Apiales; Apiaceae.
GAAAUACCGAAUAGGCUCAAAAACCAUAAUCAAAUAAUGAACCGAAUUUAAUUCGGUUAUUUUACCGAACCGAAUUUUUUAUUUCGGUUAAAACCGAAUACCGAAAAAAAAACCGAAAUUUUAUAAAAGUGAACAAAAAUCACAAAAACAAUAGCGAAAAAUCACUAAAAUAAUGAAGAAAAACAUCACUGCAUCAUUUAAACUAGUCAUCAAUAACAACACUUCAAAGUAUCUACAUUAACAGUUUGACGCAACAAAACACCCACUCAUGAGUCGAACUAAAUAACCCAUGAGUUCAACUGAACUGGGUUUCCCAAAAAUCGAAGGUGAAGUUCGAUUGAAUUGACAGCAUACCUUAAUCGUCAAACGAUUAUGGUGAAGAAGACGGCAAGAUGGUGUGUAAUGAGCCGCCGGGGUCGCAUCGAAGGUGAAGGUGAAUCGUUGAGCGUGUGUAGGGGGCUGGUUUGGGGGUUGUUUGAACUUUUAAUUGAACUGCCGAACUGGGUUAGCCAUUAGUGUGCCUCAG